UCACCGGGGGCGACAGCAAUAUGUAGGUCAAGCUAAAGACUUUACCUGAAUCGCUGAGAGGAGGUGCAUGGCCGUCGUCAGUUCGUACUGUGAAGCAUCCUGUUAAGUCAGGCAACGAGCGAGACCCGUGCCCACUGUUGCCAGCAUAUCCUUUUUGGAUGAUGGGUACUCUGUGGGGACCGCCGAUGCUAAAUCGGAGGAAGGUGCGGGCUACGGUAGGUCAGUAUGCCCCGAAUCUCCCGGGCUACACGCGGGCUACAAUGGGCAGGACAAUGGGUAUCGACACCGAAAGGUGAAGGUAAUCCCCUAAACCUGUCCUUAGUUCGGAUUGUGGGCUGCAACUCGCCCACAUGAAGCUGGAAUCCGUAGUAAUCGCGUUUCAAAAUAGCGCGGUGAAUCUGUCCCUGCUCCUUGCACACACCGCCCGUCAAACCACCCGAGUGAGGUCUGGAUGAGGCUGCGGUCGUUGCCGCAGUCGAAUCUGGGUUUCGCAAGGGGGGUU
This 502-nucleotide ribosomal RNA is filed under the name uncultured archaeon. Its description in RNAcentral is "bacterial SSU rRNA". It matches the Rfam family "Archaeal small subunit ribosomal RNA", at positions 927 to 1429 of the family's 1478-position model. The record is from RNAcentral.